UUUUUAGGAUAAGUAUAUCCCAUGCAUUAUUUGGGACAUACUUAGACUAAAA
This is a non-coding RNA of Callithrix jacchus (white-tufted-ear marmoset), 52 nucleotides long. NCBI's taxonomy places the organism in Eukaryota, Metazoa, Chordata, Mammalia, Primates, Cebidae. The record is from Rfam.